AUUUACCCUACAGCCUAGCAUAGAUACACACCUAAAAAUAAUUUUUCUGGACUCAGCCUGGGAGUGAGGCUUAAAUGGCAAUUUAUUCCUGCCUCCAGCUUAUUAAAGAAAUUCCCCAGUCCCCUAUCGUCCCCUUCAUCAAUUUUGAUAAGAGUCAUCCAGAUCCAGUGACUCAGGGACAAAACAAUCACCACCUCAAGUGUUUCAUUCAAUCCUACAGACUAGAGCUCCAGGAAGACUGAAUAGAGACACCCAGGAGAGCUUUCCUGGUUGACAGCACUCCCUGCCUAUCGCCACACAUUGAUGCCAGGAGGGUGAGGUGAACUCACUUCAAGGCGAGAGGGCCGUUGAAGCUUCUGUUUGAAACCCUCUCAGACUCUGCCCUAAGCAUCUCUUCCUCUGGCUGAUUUUAAUCUGUAUCCUUUCCCUGCAAUAAACCAAAGCCAUGGGUGUAACUGUUCUGUGAGCCCUUCUAGUAAAUUUUCAAAACUGAGGGUAGUUUGUGGAUCCCCCCGCCAACCUUGAGGUUCAUGUCAGAAGUAAGAGAGGUCUUGGGGACUGUAUCCUCUAACUGUCUUGGGCAAACUCUAUUCCUCUAAACUCUUUUUUUUUUUUUAACUUUUUACACUGAUAUUCUAGAUUGUUUUUCAAUCAGUAAAGCAAACCUGAUAAAGAAGUUCUAAGAAUCAGGCCCUUCAUACCAUUUAUAGUGGAGGUUGCCUGGCAUUCUGUGUAUCAUUCUAGUUCUUAGCAUGCACAGCUAUCUCCUCUGGAUUCCAUGAGGCAGGAUUCAUCUCAGUUCCCUCUAGCACAGUGGCUAACAGAGCAGGUACUCAGAAGUGCCUGUGACUAGAGUCACAUAUAAGACAGGGUCUGUUCUCAGGAGCUCAGCAUGCACAUGUGGAGACUUCACAGGAAAAUGUAAGGACUUUCACAUUGGUGGCAUCUAGUUUCAAAGAGAAUGGCGAGUGUCUCAGUCAGCUAGGGCUGCCAUAGUAAAAUUCCACACUUCUGUUGGCGUAAGCAACAGAAAUGUACUUGCUCACAGUUCUGGAGACUGGAAGUCCAAGAUCAUAGUGCCAGCAAGGUCAUGCUCUGGUGAAGCAUCUCUUCCUGUCUUGUAAACAGACAUCAUAUUGUGUGUGUUCACAUGGCCUUUGCUUGGUGCAUCUGCAGAGAAAGAGAGGGAGAGAAAGACAAAGAGAUGGAGAGAGAGCUGUUUCUUAUAAGGGCACUAAUCCUAUCAUGGGAGCCUUACCCUCAUGACCUCAUCUCAACCUAAUGACCCUCCCAAAGCCCUGUCUCUAACUACCAUCGCAUUGCGGGCUAGGGCUUCCACAUAGGAAUUUUGGGGGGACAAAAUUCUAUUUAUAGCAGUGACUUAAUCUGAGGUGACCCAAGCAGCUUUGAAUAGGAUUGGGCCUGGUGGACACAAGAGGAAUGGAAAACAGGGUCUGAAGGUGUCGCUUGCAGGGUGACCCCAGGGCCCAGAAUGCCCAUGUCUUCUGCUCCUUAAUCUCCAUGUCCCAAGAGGUGCAUAAGGGGACACUGGGGACACAGAAAAGCCACGUCUUCAUCAGCGGAGGAAAUAGCUCAGGAAAACUCCUAUGCGUUCUUUGGUUUCCCUCAUUAUUAAGACCAAUCAUAGGAAAAUGAGAAAGGAAAAUCCACUCUUCCACCCGAUAUGUGUGUUCUUGUGACUCCCACCUGAUGGAGACGGUUGCUAGGAAACUGUGACCACAGUCUGCAGAUUCUGUCAAGGAGAAAGGACCCCCUCACCCCUGAGUUCUCCUUGAAACUCACAAAGUGCUUAGCUGCAGCCUGUGGUGCAGCAUUCAGGAGAGUUAAUGCUGGCAAUUCACAGAGAAGGGAACUGAAGAUUAGGGGCAUCAGGUAGGCAGCUGGUCAUGGCACCAGCGUGUGGCUUGGAGCCAGCUCCCCUGCUGCCCAGGGAGGUGCUGUCUCUAUUCCAUUGCACUGCCCUCAAGAAGAGGGACCUAGUUCAAAACCAGAAAGGUGAGGCUGCCAUGGUCUGCCCUUUUGGGGCACCUCUGGAAGAGGGUACCUCUUCACCGAAUGUCUUCCUUUGUGUGUUCUCACAGGAUGGCAAUCCCAGGUCUGGAUUAAUGCCUGUGUCUGCUGAAAAACAGUGGGACAGACAGUGCUGGUCCAUGGCUGCCUUCAAAAUGCUACUAAAUUUCUGUCUGCCAUAAAGUGGAGAGAAAAAGAGUGCAAAACUAAAACGGGAAGUUUCCUCAUCUAGAAAACAACGAUGAUGAUGAUGUCAGUGAUAACCUAUUUUGUACGUUCUCAUAAAUGUUUUUUAGGGUUUGAAGCAACAUGGAUCUCUCAAAUGUGAGCACCAAGACUGAAAACCACUAAGGAUAAUGAGAAGCUGUCUUUGUGCACACAUUUUGGUCUCCUCCCAUCCAUGCUGGAAAUAGCCACUUCAAUAUCAUCAGAAGGACAACUUGAAGAGAAACUUAAAAGAGCUGCUCCCUGUCUCACCUCAGCAAACAUCCCCUUGUGUGUGGCUGGGCCUGGCAGCUAAAAGUGGAAUAUGCUAAAAGAAAAAAAAAAGUCACUGAGCACUGGAUGCCGAGGACAGCUGGAGUGCGUGGGAUGUGGGACGCUAUUUUUUCCUAGCUGCUUUGGAAACCAAGCAGAUGGGUGGCUACUUGAUGACAUCAGGGGCCAUGGAUGGUGCAUUCCAGCUGCUGACCACAUGAACACGUUUACUAUGGGCAAAGAAGAGAAUUUCCCUCCUGCGCUCUGCUUCUCCCUUGGUCCCAGCUUCCUUAGAUUGUUUUUCUGGGCUAUUGAAAUCAUGUCUGCCU
Molecule: long non-coding RNA, 2837 nt
Filed under: Homo sapiens (human)
Lineage: Eukaryota; Metazoa; Chordata; Mammalia; Primates; Hominidae
Description: HSALNT0026753
Source: RNAcentral